This 497-nucleotide ribosomal RNA is filed under the name uncultured bacterium. RNAcentral describes it as "partial 16S ribosomal RNA". It matches the Rfam family "Bacterial small subunit ribosomal RNA", at positions 28 to 507 of the family's 1533-position model. The record is from RNAcentral.
GAUGAACGCUGGCGGCGUGCCUAAUACAUGCAAGUCGAGCGAACAGACGAGGAGCUUGCUCCUCUGACGUUAGCGGCGGACGGGUGAGUAACACGUGGAUAACCUACCUAUAAGACUGGGAUAACUUCGGGAAACCGGAGCUAAUACCGGAUAAUAUAUUGAACCGCAUGGUUCAAUAGUGAAAGACGGUUUUGCCGUCACUUAUAGAUGGAUCCGCGCCGCAUUAGCUAGUUGGUAAGGUAACGGCUUACCAAGGCGACGAUGCGUAGCCGACCUGAGAGGGUGAUCGGCCACACUGGAACUGAGACACGGUCCAGACUCCUACGGGAGGCAGCAGUAGGGAAUCUUCCGCAAUGGGCGAAAGCCUGACGGAGCAACGCCGCGUGAGUGAUGAAGGUCUUCGGAUCGUAAAACUCUGUUAUUAGGGAAGAACAAAUGUGUAAGUAACUAUGCACGUCUUGACGGUACCUAAUCAGAAAGCCACGGCUAACUACGUG